RNAcentral lists this ribosomal RNA (462 nucleotides) under uncultured bacterium. RNAcentral describes it as "bacterial SSU rRNA". It matches the Rfam family "Bacterial small subunit ribosomal RNA", at positions 29 to 507 of the family's 1533-position model. The record is from RNAcentral.
AUUGAACGCUGGCGGCAGGCCUAAUACAUGACAAGUCGAACGGUAACAUAAAAGAAGCUUGCUUCUUUGAUGACGAGUGGCGGACGGGUGAGUAAUAUUUGGGAAACUACCUGAUAGAGGGGGACAACAGUUGGAAAACGACUGCUAAAUACCGCAUAAAGCCUAAGGGUGAAAGCAGCAAUGCGCUAUCAGAUGUCGCCCAAACGGGAUUAGCUAGUAGGUGAGGUAAAGGCUCACCUAGGCGACGAUCAGUAGCCGGACUGAGAGGUUGAACGGCCACAUUGGGACUGAGAUACGGCCCAGACUCCUACGGGAGGCAGCAGGUGGGGAAUAUUGGGCAAUGGGGGAAACCCUGACCCAGCAACGCCGCGUGAAGGAAGAAGGCCUUCGGGUUGUAAACUUCUUUUAGCAGGGACGAAGGACGUGACGGUACCUGCAGAAAAAGCAACGGCUAACUACGUG